Molecule: ribosomal RNA, 551 nt
Filed under: Staphylococcus sp.
Lineage: Bacteria; Bacillati; Bacillota; Bacilli; Caryophanales; Staphylococcaceae
Description: partial 16S ribosomal RNA
Rfam family: Bacterial small subunit ribosomal RNA
Source: RNAcentral
UUUAAUAAGUUUUUUUUCCGGCUCCGGAUGAACGCCGGGGGCGUGCCUUAUACCUGCAAGUCGAGCGAACGGACGAGAAGCUUGGCUUCUCUGAUGUUAGCGGCGGAGGGGUGAGUAACACGUGGAUAACCUCCCUAUAAGACUGGGAUAAUCUUCGGGAAACCGGAGUCUAAUACCGGAUAAUAUUUUGAACCCGCGUGGUUCAAAAGUGAAAGACGGUCUUGCUGUCAUUUAUAGAUGGAUCCGCGGUGCAUUAGCUAUUUGGUAAGGUAACGGCUUACCAGGGCAACGAUGCAUAGCCGACCUGAGAGGGUGAUCGGCCACCCUGGAACUGAGACCCGGUCCAGACUCCUACGGGAGGCAGCAUUAGGGAAUCUUCCGCAAUGGGCGAAAGCCUGACGGAGCACCGCCGCGUGAGUGAUGAAGGUUUUCGGAUCGUAAAGACUCUGUUUUUUAGGGAAGAACAAUAUGUGUAAUUAACUGUGCACCUCUUGACGGUCCCUAACCAAAAACCCCCGGCUAAUUACGUGCCCCCCCCCCGGGGAUAAAAA